AAUUUUACUUAGUUUAUAUUGAAUAUAGUAAAAAUUGCUCGUUUUUAUUUUCCAGAGGAGCCAUAUCCUUUGGCUCCACGCCGAGAAGCAACAGGUGCUGUGGUGGUAAUAAUUUCAUCAUACGUAGACUUCUUCAACGGUAAAUUAUGGAGUUUUAUAAUCAAGAACUGAGCAACACGAUCCCCAAGUUCAACUUGAUAUGGAAGUUUCCCAUGGUUGAUUAGCAUAACCCCCAAAGUUCCUUCAAAAUCUUCAUCGACCACGCCCCCCAUGACGUCAAUUUUAUGCCGCAACGCUAACCCAGACCUUGGUUUAAUCAAACCAACAUGGCCCAACGUACAAAUCAUAACCAGCAGAUUGAGGGUGCAACUUUGUUGGAAAUUUACUUUCAAAGGUCUUCCUAAUAAAGUGGACCGUUCUAUAGUCAUCUAGAAGGAAAUCAGCUACUACAUUCAAUCCAUAUAAUGACGAGAUACCAUCAAAACGGGAUACCAAAAAUUGUCAGUGUUAUAGGCAAGAAGUGAAAAAACUGUGUAUGUCCCAUUAUAUAAUCGUUAUUUGAAAUAAUUAUAAGAUCUUCCGAAUUUUUAUAGACGCCCUGAUUAGAAUCUACUUCCUCUGACCAACCAACUUGUUCAGCUUAAGAGAGGGUAUUGCACGCUGCAACCAACGAUUGAAAAUAUUUAAACGACAGGUUUGCCCCUGUGGUUUGAUUCUUUCUGAUGCAGACAUAAGCCUGCCCAUUUUUUCUCCAAGUUUGGAGUUUUAGCCAAAACCCCUGACCUAGCUGGCCCUCCCAAUGGACAAUAUUUUGUCCACUAUGAUCGUCACUCCUUUCCCCUUCGGGAGCAAAAUUAAGCGAAAUAGGACCUUUGUAAGAUGAUGAAGGCACUUAUGCUUCAUAUGUGCUCCGGAGCUGAUGAUGAUGAGCUUGCAGGAGGAAUCGUAGUACGAGCAACAGGAACAAGCGCCGAUGAAGGAACAGGAACAGCAGAAGGCGGAACACUCUUGACUCGACCUCUCUUCUCCGCUGGGGACUUUUCUGCAAUUAAUAGAAAUAAAAAUUUAAAGCUUAUGAUUACAACAAAUUUCCCUAUUCACAUUUUAAAAUAAUUAUUAACAUCUUACCCUUUUCAGCCAUCUUCCUCUUGUUAGCGGCGGCAGCAGCCUUGACUGUCUUCUCUUCAGGACCAGUGUAGAACAGGCUUAACGGGUUUCGACGAGCGGCAUCUAGCUCCUUCUUGGAAGCAGCGUCAACCUUCUUCGCAUCAGCUGCAUUCUCCCUUGCUUCCCGUCGUCGUUUCUGUUCCGUAUAUAUAUCAAC
Long non-coding RNA from Folsomia candida, 1324 nucleotides. RefSeq lists it as uncharacterized. Lineage: Eukaryota; Metazoa; Arthropoda; Collembola; Entomobryomorpha; Isotomidae. The transcript has 5 exons. The record is from RefSeq and is a predicted model, not a curated record.